UGCAAGUCGUGCGGACCUUUUAAAAGCUUGCUUUUAAAAGGUUAGCGGCGGACGGGUGAGUAACACGUGGGCAACCUGCCUGUAAGACUGGGAUAACGCCGGGAAACCGGGGCUAAUACCGGAUAGUUUUUUCCUCCGCAUGGAGGAAAAAGGAAAGGCGGCUUCGGCUGCCACUUACAGAUGGGCCCGCGGCGCAUUAGCUAGUUGGCGGGGUAACGGCCCACCAAGGCAACGAUGCGUAGCCGACCUGAGAGGGUGAUCGGCCACAUUGGGACUGAGACACGGCCCAAACUCCUACGGGAGGCAGCAGUAGGGAAUCUUCCGCAAUGGACGAAAGUCUGACGGAGCAACGCCGCGUGAGUGAAGAAGGCCUUCGGGUCGUAAAACUCUGUUGCCGGGGAAGAACAAGUGCCGUUCGAAUAGGGCGGCGCCUUGACGGUACCCGGCCAGAAAGCCACGGCUAACUAC
This 468-nucleotide ribosomal RNA is filed under the name uncultured bacterium. RNAcentral describes it as "bacterial SSU rRNA". It matches the Rfam family "Bacterial small subunit ribosomal RNA", at positions 56 to 504 of the family's 1533-position model. The record is from RNAcentral.